GCCGCGGGAAGGAAGAAGGCCUUCGGGUUGUAAAAUUCUUUUCGGGGGGAAGAGGAAGGACGGUACCCUCGGAAUAAGCGUCGGCUAACUACGUGCCAGCAGCCGCGGUAAGACGUAGGACGCGAGCGUUAUCCGGAUUUACUGGGCGUAAAGCGUCUGUAGGCGGAAAGACAAGUUGGGCGUGAAAGCUCCGGGCUCAACCCGGAAAGUGCGUUCAAUACUGUCUAUCUAGAGGAGGUCAAAGGGGAGUGGAAUUUCAGGUGUAGCGGUAAAAUGCGCAAAUAUCUGAAGGAACACCAGUGGCGAAGGCGGCUCCCUGGGGCCCACCUGACGCUGAAAGACAAAAGCUAGGGGAGCGAACAGGAUUAGAGACCUUGGUAGUCCUAGCCAUAAACGAUGGAUGCUAGGUGUGGGACCGAGAAGGUUCUGUGCCGGAGCAAACGCGAUAAGCAUCCCGCCUGGGGAAGUACGACCGCAAGGUUAAAAUUCAAACGAAUU
RNAcentral lists this ribosomal RNA (498 nucleotides) under uncultured bacterium. RNAcentral's name for it is "bacterial SSU rRNA". It matches the Rfam family "Bacterial small subunit ribosomal RNA", at positions 396 to 911 of the family's 1533-position model. The record is from RNAcentral.